RNAcentral lists this ribosomal RNA (118 nucleotides) under Odontomantis planiceps. RNAcentral's name for it is "partial 16S ribosomal RNA". The record is from RNAcentral. Lineage: Eukaryota; Metazoa; Arthropoda; Insecta; Mantodea; Hymenopodidae.
AAGAUUUUAAAGGUCGAACAGACCUAGUUUAUAAGCAUCUACACCUUAAAAACUAAUCUUAAUCCAACAUCGAGGUCACAAGCUUCUUUUUCGAUAUGAACUCUCAAAAGAAAUUAUG